UUUCAGGGGUGGUGAAAUUCCACACCGGAGGUGAUCGAAUUUAUUCGUAAGUCCUCGACCGCAGAGAUGCGUUGAUUCGGUGAAAAUCCGAAACCGACGGUAAAGUCCGGAUGGAAGAAA
Molecule: non-coding RNA, 120 nt
Filed under: uncultured Ruminococcus sp.
Lineage: Bacteria; Bacillati; Bacillota; Clostridia; Eubacteriales; Oscillospiraceae
Description: FMN riboswitch (RFN element)
Rfam family: FMN riboswitch aptamer (RFN element)
About the family: The RFN element is a highly conserved domain that is found frequently in the 5'-untranslated regions of prokaryotic mRNAs that encode for flavin mononucleotide (FMN) biosynthesis and transport proteins.
Source: RNAcentral